Molecule: ribosomal RNA, 119 nt
Filed under: Pteropus alecto (black flying fox)
Lineage: Eukaryota; Metazoa; Chordata; Mammalia; Chiroptera; Pteropodidae
Source: RNAcentral
AUCUACGGCCAUGCCACCCUGAACGUGUCCGAUCUUGUCUGAUCUCGGGAGCUAAGCAUGGUCGGGCCUGGUUAGUACUUGGAUGGGAGACCACCUAGGAAGACCAGGUGCUGUAAGUG